Long non-coding RNA from Salvia miltiorrhiza (redroot sage), 436 nucleotides. RefSeq lists it as uncharacterized. Lineage: Eukaryota; Viridiplantae; Streptophyta; Magnoliopsida; Lamiales; Lamiaceae. The record is from RefSeq and is a predicted model, not a curated record. The transcript is spliced from 3 exons.
AACACUUUUAACUCACACACACAACACCUAAAACACACACUAAACUCACGCAUAACACCAUUGUUGAGGAGUUGGAGCUUUUGACCUCCGAUUUGAGCACCGAGACGAGCGCCGAUCAUCUUUUCGAUCACGUAUCUAAGUAGGUCCUUUUGGGAAGUAACGACUUGAGGGAGAGAGUGACGUUACUCAUUGAUACAGAGACACAACGAGGUUGAGCUGAUGUGAUGAUGGUGUUGCAAUGAGCGGAGUCUCCAGGGUUGUUAAUAAAUAGUUAACCUGUCUAGAAUAUGUCUUCAUACAUAUGUCUAGCUACUUUCCGCUGCAAGAUGUUGUUGAUGUUAUAGUAUGUUAUGUCAUACUUUGAGUCUUAAGAGAAUGGUUUCAUACGAUGUAUAACUUGAUUAAUGAUAUUAAUUAAGUUUUAUGCUGUCUUUCA